AUAUUGGACAAUGGGGGAAACCCUGAUCCAGCGACGCCGCGUGAAUGAUGAAGGCCUUAGGGUUGUAAAGUUCUUUCGUCCGUGACGAUGAUGACAGUAGCGGAAGAAGAAGCUCCGGCUAACUUCGUGCCAGCAGCCGCGGUAAUACGAAGGGGGCUAGCGUUGCUCGGAAUUACUGGGCGUAAAGCGCACGUAGGUGGCGAUUCAAGUUAGAUGUGAAAGGCCCGGGCUCAACCCGGGAACUGCAUUUGAUACUGAAUUGCUAGAGUCCAAGAGAGGGUAGUGGAAUUCCCAGUGUAGAGGUGAAAUUCGUAGAUAUUGGGAAGAACACCAGUGGCGAAGGCGGCUACCUGGCUUGGUACUGACACUGAGGUGCGAAAGCGUGGGGAGCGAACAGG
Molecule: ribosomal RNA, 398 nt
Filed under: uncultured bacterium
Lineage: Bacteria
Description: bacterial SSU rRNA
Rfam family: Bacterial small subunit ribosomal RNA
Source: RNAcentral